CUGGCUCAGGACGAACGCUGGCGGCGUGCCUAAUACAUGCAAGUCGAGCGGACUUGAUGAGGAGCUUGCU
RNAcentral lists this ribosomal RNA (70 nucleotides) under Paenibacillus uliginis N3/975. RNAcentral's name for it is "partial 16S rRNA. Bacterial SSU". Lineage: Bacteria; Bacillati; Bacillota; Bacilli; Caryophanales; Paenibacillaceae. The record is from RNAcentral.